Molecule: ribosomal RNA, 497 nt
Filed under: uncultured bacterium
Lineage: Bacteria
Description: partial 16S ribosomal RNA
Rfam family: Bacterial small subunit ribosomal RNA
Source: RNAcentral
GACGAACGCUGGCGGCGUGCCUAAUACAUGCCAGUUGAGCGAUGAAGAUUGGUGCUUGCACCAAUUUGAAGAGCAGCGAACGGGUGAGUAACGCGUGGGGAAUCUGCCUUUGAGCGGGGGACAACAUUUGGAAACGAAUGCUAAUACCGCAUAACAACUUUAAACAUAAGUUUUAAGUUUGAAAGAUGCAAUUGCAUCACUCAAAGAUGAUCCCGCGUUGUAUUAGCUAGUUGGUGAGGUAAAGGCUCACCAAGGCGAUGAUACAUAGCCGACCUGAGAGGGUUGUCGGCCACAUUGGGACUGAGACACGGCCCAAACUCCUACGGGAGGCAGCAGUAGGGAAUCUUCGGCAAUGGACGAAAGUCUGACCGAGCAACGCCGCGUGAGUGAAGAAGGUUUUCGGAUCGUAAAACUCUGUUGGUAGAGAAGAACGUUGGUGAGAGUGGAAAGCUCAUCAAGUGACGGUAACUACCCAGAAAGGGACGGCUAACUACGUG